GGGGCUGUAGCUCAACGGUAGAGCCACUGCCUUGGAUGUAGAAGAUGUCGGGUUCAAGUCCCACCAGCCCCC
This 72-nucleotide transfer RNA is filed under the name Caldilineaceae bacterium. RNAcentral describes it as "tRNA-Pro". It matches the Rfam family "tRNA". From Rfam's summary of the family: Transfer RNA (tRNA) molecules are approximately 80 nucleotides in length. Lineage: Bacteria; Bacillati; Chloroflexota; Caldilineae; Caldilineales; Caldilineaceae. The record is from RNAcentral.